GAUGAACGCUGACAGAAUGCUUAACACAUGCAAGUCGAUGGGGAAGUGGUGCUUGCACCAUGGCAACCAUGGCGGACGGGUGAGUAACGCGUAAGGGACUUACCUGCAGGACUGGGAUAACAGGGGGAAACUCCUGACAAGACCGGAUAAUGUCAUGGAGCUGCAUGGCUUUAUGAUGAAAGGAGACGCCUGCGGAGAGCCUUGCGUCCUAUUAGCUAGUUGGUGAGGUAAUGGCUCACCAAGGCGAAGAUGGGUAGCCGGCCUGAGAGGGUGGACGGCCACAAGGGGACUGAGAUACGGCACUUACUCCUACGGGAGGCAGCAGUGGGGAAUAUUGGACAAUGGGGGCAACCCUGAUCCAGCAAUUCUGUGUGCACGAAGAAGGUUUUCGGAUUGUAAAGUGCUUUCAGCAGGGAAGAAGUAAGUGACGGUACCUGCAGAAGAAGCGACGGCUAAAUACGUG
Molecule: ribosomal RNA, 463 nt
Filed under: uncultured bacterium
Lineage: Bacteria
Description: partial 16S ribosomal RNA
Rfam family: Bacterial small subunit ribosomal RNA
Source: RNAcentral